GACGAACGCUGGCGGCGUGCUUAACACAUGCAAGUCGAACGGAAAGGCCCUGCUUUUGUGGGGUGCUCGAGUGGCGAACGGGUGAGUAACACGUGAGUAACCUGCCCUUUACUUUGUGAUAACUUCAGGAAACUGGGGCUAAUACCGGAUAGGAGCUCCUGCUGCAUGUUGUGGGUUGGAAAGUUUCGGCGGUUGGGGAUGGACUCGCGGCUUAUCAGCUUGUUGGUGGGGUAGUGGCUUACCAAGGCUUUGACGGGUAGCCGGCCUGAGAGGGUUACCGGCCACAUUGGGACUGAGAUACGGCCCAGACUCCUACGGGAGGCAGCAGUGGGGAAUAUUGCACAAUGGGCGGAAGCCUGAUGCAGAAACGCCGCGUGCGGGAUGACGGCCUUCGGGUUGUAAACCGCUUUCGCCUGUGACGAAGCGUGAGUGACGGUAAUGGGUAAAGAAGCACCGGCUAACUACGUG
Molecule: ribosomal RNA, 468 nt
Filed under: uncultured bacterium
Lineage: Bacteria
Description: partial 16S ribosomal RNA
Rfam family: Bacterial small subunit ribosomal RNA
Source: RNAcentral